This 386-nucleotide ribosomal RNA is filed under the name uncultured bacterium. RNAcentral describes it as "bacterial SSU rRNA". It matches the Rfam family "Bacterial small subunit ribosomal RNA", at positions 28 to 416 of the family's 1533-position model. The record is from RNAcentral.
GACGAACGCUGGCGGCGUGCUUAACACAUGCAAGUCGAGCGGUAAGGCCCUUUCGGGGGUACACGAGCGGCGAACGGGUGAGUAACACGUGGGUGACCUGCCCUCAGCUCUGGGAUAAGCCUGGGAAACUGGGUCUAAUACUGGAUAUGACUCCACGGUGCAUGUCGUGGGGUGGAAAGCCUUGUGCGGCUGAGGAUGGGCCCGCGGCCUAUCAGCUUGUUGGUGGGGNGAUGGCCUACCAAGGCGACGACGGGUAGCCGGCCUGAGAGGGCGACCGGCCACACUGGGACUGAGACACGGCCCAGACUCCUACGGGAGGCAGCAGUGGGAAUCUUGCGCAAUGGGCGAAAGCCUGACGCAGCGACGCCGCGUGAGGGAUGACGGCC